UACCAGCACCCCGAGUGGUCGGGACGAUUAUUGGGCCUAAAGCAUCCGUAGCCGGUUCUACAAGUCUUCUGUUAAAUCCACCUGCUUAACAGAUGGGCUGCGGAGGAUACUAUGGAGCUAGGAGGCGGGAGAGGCAAGCGGUACUUAGUGGGUAGGGGUAAAAUCCGUUGAUCCAUUGAAGACCACCAGUGGCGAAGGCGGCUUGCCAGAACGCACUCGACGGUGAGGGAUGAAAGCUGGGGGAGCAAACCGG
RNAcentral lists this ribosomal RNA (253 nucleotides) under uncultured bacterium. Its description in RNAcentral is "partial 16S ribosomal RNA". It matches the Rfam family "Archaeal small subunit ribosomal RNA", at positions 474 to 727 of the family's 1478-position model. The record is from RNAcentral.